Molecule: long non-coding RNA, 229 nt
Filed under: Lathyrus oleraceus (garden pea)
Lineage: Eukaryota; Viridiplantae; Streptophyta; Magnoliopsida; Fabales; Fabaceae
Description: Pisum sativum (pea) long non-coding RNA (PSAT_LNC024362)
Source: RNAcentral
AAUAUUCUUUUCACUAUGUUAUAUUCUUUUCUUUUUCAAUUGCUCAUCUUUUCUUUGAUAUUCUCUUUUUUUUCAACUGAGUACUCUUCUUUCGAUGAGUGCUUCCUUCGAAGCAUCGACUACAUUUCGUUUUCUCAAUUUUUUUAUGGUCGUUUUUCUUCUUCUUUUUUUAUCGUACUCACCUUGGUUUUUGAGACUUAUGGGGUUUACCCCAAACUUAGAAUUUAAC